AUCAGCCUGACAGACGAAUGCAGAGACUCAGAAACAGGGAAUUCAUAGCCUGGAUGGCAAGUUUUGUAUGGAAUGAGCUGAAUUUAAGGCACUCUCAGACCUUUGUUCUCAUCCAUCUGGAAGCCAAGACUGCGGGGAAAGAAAAGGAAAAGCCUCUCUGUGAGCUGGGGAGCUUCAAAGCAAAUCGAGAACAGACAGCUCUGUUCUGGGGAAGAAACACUGAAACAGGAGCUGAGGUGCUUUGAUACCAGAGCAGAGUGCAGGACAGAGUGAUCCCAGCAUGGAGAAAGGGAGAACAUACCUCCUGCUCAGCUCCUCCUCCUGAGCUUCCCGGGGCAGCUCGGGCAGGGAUGCAGAGAGCUCCUCUCUGUCACUCUCAGGCAAGGGGAGGCUGGGCUGGGCUGGAGAUUCAACCACAGAAUGGAGUUUUAGUGAAACAGCAAAUCAGUUCUGGCAGCACGCUGAGUUAUUAUCCAAAACCACUGAAUUUAUUCUCUCAAACUAUAUACUUAAUCUUUCAAAUAAAUAUUUGAUCUUCUCAAUUCUAUGUUACAUCCAUAUCAUAAAUAUAUGACAGAUUUAAUUUCCUUUCAGCAAAAUGAAAACAUGAUGAAUUUGCAUUCCAGGGCUAAAUACAUGCCUACAUACGUAGGGAGGAAAACAAUGAAUCCAAAAUAUUGAAGUGACCAAAACAAGAGGUUACAAACAGCUGAAAAGGAUUAAUUUGAUGUUAAUCUUGUAAUUGUGUUUCAGAUUAUGACAGCUGUGGCUUCCUGAGUGUCUGGGACAAAGUUUGCAAGUGGCACCCACUGAAACGACUUUUUAAAACACUUUGAUCCUCAGCAUAAACAAAAUAUAGGUUAAAUGUACUUCAAGGUGUACUUCAAACCAAGGUUCUAACUCAGGAAUGCUUUCCUAAGUAAAGGUCUACCCAAAA
Molecule: long non-coding RNA, 937 nt
Organism: Taeniopygia guttata (zebra finch)
Lineage: Eukaryota; Metazoa; Chordata; Aves; Passeriformes; Estrildidae
Source: RefSeq, a predicted model, not a curated record